RNAcentral lists this ribosomal RNA (393 nucleotides) under uncultured bacterium. RNAcentral describes it as "partial 16S ribosomal RNA". It matches the Rfam family "Bacterial small subunit ribosomal RNA", at positions 523 to 918 of the family's 1533-position model. The record is from RNAcentral.
AUACGGAGGAUGCGAGCGUUAUUCGGAUUUAUUGGGUUUAAAGGGAGCGUAGGUGGGAUAUUAAGUCAGCUGUGAAAGUUUGGGGCUCAACCUUAAAAUUGCAGUUGAUACUGGUUUCCUUGAGUACGGUACAGGUGGGCGGAAUUCGUGGUGUAGCGGUGAAAUGCUUAGAUAUCACGAAGAACUCCGAUCGCGAAGGCAGCUCACCGGGCCGGAACUGACACUGAUGCUCGAAAGUGCGGGUAUCAAACAGGAUUAGAUACCCUGGUAGUCCGCACAGUAAACGAUGAAUACUCGCUGGUUGCGAUACACUGUAAGCGGCCAAGCGAAAGCGUUAAGUAUUCCACCUGGGGAGUACGCCGGCAACGGUGAAACUCAAAUGAAUUGACGGGU